UGUGUAGGCGGUUCUUUAAGUUUGGUGUGAAAUCUCCCGGCUCAACCGGGAGGGUGCGCCGAAUACUGAGGGACUAGAGUGUGGGAGAGGAAAGCGGAAUUCCUGGUGUAGCGGUGAAAUGCGUAGAUAUCAGGAGGAACACCGGUGGUGUAGACGGCUUUCUGGACCGUAACUGACGCUGAGACACGAAAGCGUGGGUAGCAAACA
This 207-nucleotide ribosomal RNA is filed under the name uncultured bacterium. RNAcentral's name for it is "partial 16S ribosomal RNA". It matches the Rfam family "Bacterial small subunit ribosomal RNA", at positions 568 to 774 of the family's 1533-position model. The record is from RNAcentral.